This 440-nucleotide ribosomal RNA is filed under the name uncultured bacterium. Its description in RNAcentral is "partial 16S ribosomal RNA". It matches the Rfam family "Bacterial small subunit ribosomal RNA", at positions 338 to 795 of the family's 1533-position model. The record is from RNAcentral.
CCUACGGGAGACAGCAGUGGGGAAUAUUGCACAAUGGGGGGAACCCUGAUGCAGCAACGCCGCGUGGGUGAAGAAGUACUUCGGUAUGUAAAGCCCUGUCAGCAGGGAAGAAAAUGACGGUACCUGACCAAGAAGCCCCGGCUAACUACGUGCCAGCAGCCGCGGUAAUACGUAGGGGGCAAGCGUUAUCCGGAUUUACUGGGUGUAAAGGGAGCGUAGACGGCAAGGCAAGUCUGGAGUGAAAGCCCGUGGCUCAACCACGGGACUGCUUUGGAAACUGUGUUGCUGGAGUGCAGGAGGGGUAAGCGGAAUUCCUAGUGUAGCGGUGAAAUGCGUAGAUAUCACGCAGAACCCCGAUUGCGAAGGCAGCAUGCCGGCUUCCGACUGACGCUGAAGCACGAAAGCGUGGGGAUCGAACAGGAUUAGAUACCCUAGUAGUC